RNAcentral lists this ribosomal RNA (463 nucleotides) under uncultured bacterium. Its description in RNAcentral is "bacterial SSU rRNA". It matches the Rfam family "Bacterial small subunit ribosomal RNA", at positions 338 to 795 of the family's 1533-position model. The record is from RNAcentral.
CCUACGGGAUGCAGCAGUGGGGAAUUUUGGACAAUGGGGGCAACCCUGAUCCAGCCAUGCCGCGUGUGUGAAGAAGGCCUUCGGGUUGUAAAGCACUUUCGGCCGGAACGAAAUCGCGCGAUCUAAUAAGUCGCGUGGAUGACGGUACCGGAAGAAGAAGCACCGGCUAACUACGUGCCAGCAGCCGCGGUAAUACGUAGGGUGCGAGCGUUGAUCGGAAUUACUGGGCGUAAAGUGUGCGCAGGUGGCCGCGCAAGUCGAGUGUGAAAUCCCCGAGCUUAACUUGGGAAUUGCGCUCGAAACUACGUGGCUCGAGUGGCAGAGGAAGGUGGAAUUCCACGUGUAGCGGUGAAAUGCGUAGAGAUGUGGAGGAACACCGAUGGCGAAGGCAGCCUUCUGGGCCAACACUGACGCUCAUGCACGAAAGCGUGGGGAGCAAACAGGAUUAGAUACCCUUGUAGUC